RNAcentral lists this ribosomal RNA (433 nucleotides) under uncultured bacterium. RNAcentral's name for it is "partial 16S ribosomal RNA". It matches the Rfam family "Bacterial small subunit ribosomal RNA", at positions 29 to 507 of the family's 1533-position model. The record is from RNAcentral.
AACGAACGCUGGCGGCAUGCCUAACACAUGCAAGUCGAACGAGACCUUCGGGUCUAGUGGCGCACGGGUGCGUAACGCGUGGGAACCUGCCCUUAGGUUCGGAAUAACUCCCCGAAAGGGGGCCUAAUCCCGGUUAUGGUCUUCGGACCAAAGAUUUAUCGCCUUUGGUGGGGCCCGCGUUGGUUUAGCUGGUGGGUAGGGUAAAACCCGCCCAAGGGGACGAUCCAGAGCUGGUUUGAGAGGAUGAUCAGCCACACUGGGACUGAGACACGGCCCAGACUCCUACGGGAGGCAGCAGUGGGGAAUAUUGGACAAUGGGCGAAAGCCUGAUCCAGCAAUGCCGCGUGAGUGAUGAAGGCCUUAGGGUUGUAAAGCUCUUUUACCCGGGAUGAUAAUGACAGUACCGGGAGAAUAAGCUCCGGCUAACUCCGUG